UGGGAGUAGCCAUAUAGCC
This 19-nucleotide non-coding RNA is filed under the name Arabidopsis thaliana (thale cress). The record is from RNAcentral. Lineage: Eukaryota; Viridiplantae; Streptophyta; Magnoliopsida; Brassicales; Brassicaceae.